GUGCUUUCUUCAGCAGCACAAAUACUAAAAUUGAAAUGAUAUACAGAUUAACAUGGCCCCUGCACAAGGGUGACAUAGAAAUUCAUGAAAUGUUUCAUAUUUAA
This is a small nuclear RNA of Grammomys surdaster, 104 nucleotides long. Lineage: Eukaryota; Metazoa; Chordata; Mammalia; Rodentia; Muridae. The record is from RefSeq and is a predicted model, not a curated record.